CUCUAGUAGGAGGCCCCAUCACCUCUUGUUGGUCCGUAAGCGGAGGAGCAGUCCUGGAGCAACGGAUUUCCUGAAAUCGGUCGGCUUCAAAGCCAUCUUGGAAUUUCAAAGCGAAAGCAUCUCUGGCCGCCGUAUUUUUCCAGUGCAAUUGGUUCCACCAGCUUCUAGUUCCUUUUAUUUCCCUCAACCUCCUUGCACUAUGUAGAUCAAACGGGAGGUUCAGUAAAUUCGGGCAAUCAAUAACAAGCAUAACCUCAAGGAUUGGAAAGUGCAAGACUUGAGCACAGAUGCACCGCAGACUUGGUAGGUCUCCCAAAUAUAAUUUCUUCAAAUUUGAGAAUAUGCCCAAACGUUGGUCAAGUUCUUUGAUUUCUUCACUUUUGAAAUCAUUGCCUAUAACUUGAAGUAAUGAUCUACAACUACGCAAAUCAAGAGUUUUAAGCCUUGGAGCAAAAAUAAGCCAUGUCAAAUCAUCUAUUGUGGAACAACCCUGUAUCCAUAGACCACGAAUGUUCAAGACGUAGUACUGGUCAUUGUCACUUUCAAAAUGUAAAC
RNAcentral lists this unclassified non-coding RNA (555 nucleotides) under Hevea brasiliensis (rubber tree). Lineage: Eukaryota; Viridiplantae; Streptophyta; Magnoliopsida; Malpighiales; Euphorbiaceae. The record is from RNAcentral.